RNAcentral lists this microRNA (21 nucleotides) under Ictalurus punctatus (channel catfish). Its description in RNAcentral is "ipu-miR-7566". Lineage: Eukaryota; Metazoa; Chordata; Actinopteri; Siluriformes; Ictaluridae. The record is from miRBase by way of RNAcentral.
UCAUCGGCUCAUCAGACACGC